UCGGGAAUCUUGGGCAAUGGGCGAAAGCCUGACCCAGCAACGCCGCGUGAGGGAUGAAGUCCUUCGGGAUGUAAACCUCGUAAGCAUGGGAAGAACAAAUGACGGUACCAUGCGUAAGCCCCGGCUAACUACGUGCCAGCAGCCGCGGUAAUACGUAGGGGGCUAGCGUUGUUCGGAUUUACUGGGCGUAAAGCGCGUGUAGGCGGUACAUUAAGUCAGCUGUUAAAUUCCCGAGCUUAACUCGGGAAAGUCGGCUGAUACUGAUGUGCUAGAGU
This 275-nucleotide ribosomal RNA is filed under the name uncultured Blastocatellia bacterium. RNAcentral's name for it is "partial 16S ribosomal RNA". It matches the Rfam family "Bacterial small subunit ribosomal RNA", at positions 355 to 647 of the family's 1533-position model. The record is from RNAcentral. Lineage: Bacteria; Pseudomonadati; Acidobacteriota; Blastocatellia.